GCCUCGUUGGCGUAGUGGUAGCGCGUCUCACUUGUAUAAUCGCGUGAUCUUAUCUUACGCUUGUAAGAUAACAUGACGCGGUGACAUGAGAAGGUCACUCGUUCAAUCCGGGUACGAGGCA
This 121-nucleotide transfer RNA is filed under the name Agrocybe pediades. RNAcentral describes it as "tRNA-Thr". It matches the Rfam family "tRNA". From Rfam's summary of the family: Transfer RNA (tRNA) molecules are approximately 80 nucleotides in length. Their secondary structure includes four short double-helical elements and three loops (D, anti-codon, and T loops). The record is from RNAcentral. Lineage: Eukaryota; Fungi; Basidiomycota; Agaricomycetes; Agaricales; Agrocybaceae.